GAUUUCAAACUAAGCCAUAUUCUUCUGAUUUCUUCAGCUUAAUUAAGAAAUCAUUAUUUUAGGGUAUUCAUUUGAUGCAAUUCAUCUACUCUAAUAGUCACUCUGAUUCUGACUGAACGAUAAGGGUAUUCAUUUGAUGCAAUUCAUCUACUCUAAUAGUCACUCUGAUUCUGACUGAACGAUAAGAAAGCUAACACAUAUAAUAUCACCGCCAUGGAUAUGAACAUCGUUCAACUUUUCAUCAGGUUUUGUGUGUGUUAUGCAUAUCAUCGUUCUGUUCUCAAUCUCACAAAGCCAAAAAGAGAAGAACUGAUCUCCUUGUUAGAGGAAUGUUUUGUGAUGGCUCUUUUUGUACAUGAUACCAGGAUGAUUGUUCUCGUUUAUUUUGCACUUGGUGAUUUAUAUCAUCUCGUCCAUCAAUCAGCUAAAGCAAUCGAUUAUUUCCAGGAUGUUCUAAGCCUUAUUACUGGUGCAGGCAAUCAUGAUCUAGAGAUGGAAGCUAACCAAAAUUUAGGAAAUAUCUAUAAUUAUUUAGGAGAAUAUCGCAAGGCGAUUGAAUAUCACGAAAAGAGUAUGAGCAUAGCUAAAGAGAUUGGUGA
This 599-nucleotide long non-coding RNA is filed under the name Exaiptasia diaphana. RNAcentral describes it as "uncharacterized LOC114575028". The record is from RNAcentral. Lineage: Eukaryota; Metazoa; Cnidaria; Anthozoa; Actiniaria; Aiptasiidae.